This 258-nucleotide ribosomal RNA is filed under the name uncultured bacterium. RNAcentral's name for it is "partial 16S ribosomal RNA". It matches the Rfam family "Bacterial small subunit ribosomal RNA", at positions 96 to 354 of the family's 1533-position model. The record is from RNAcentral.
UGGCGGACGGGCGAGUAACGCGUGGAAAACCUGCCGUAUACUGGGGGAUAACACUUAGAAAUAGGUGCUAAUACCGCAUAAGCGCACAGCUUCGCAUGAAGCGGUGUGAAAAACUCUGGUGGUAUACGAUGGUUCCGCGUCUGAUUAGCUAGUUGGUGGGGUAAUGGCCUACCAAGGCAACGAUCAGUAGCCGGCCUGAGAGGGUGAACGGCCACAUUGGGACUGAGACACGGCCCAAACUCCUACGGGAGGCAGCAG